UGUGGGAGCGAGCCUGCUCGCGAAAGCGGUUUAUCAGUCACCGUUGAUGUCGACUGACAGAUUGCAUUCGCGAGCAGGCUCGCUCCCACA
Molecule: unclassified non-coding RNA, 90 nt
Filed under: Pseudomonas umsongensis
Lineage: Bacteria; Pseudomonadati; Pseudomonadota; Gammaproteobacteria; Pseudomonadales; Pseudomonadaceae
Source: RNAcentral